RNAcentral lists this ribosomal RNA (251 nucleotides) under uncultured prokaryote. RNAcentral's name for it is "partial 16S rRNA". It matches the Rfam family "Bacterial small subunit ribosomal RNA", at positions 525 to 775 of the family's 1533-position model. The record is from RNAcentral.
ACGUAGGAGGCAAGCGUUAUUCGGAUUUACUGGGCGUAAAGCGCGUGCAGGCGGUUCGGUAAGUUGGAUGUGAAAGCUUCUGGCUUAACUGGGAGAGGGCGUUCAAUACUACCGAACUAGAGGAUGAGUGAGGGAGGUGGAAUUUCGAGUGUAGUGGUGGAAUGCGUAGAUAUUCGGAGGAACACCAAUGGCGAAAGCAGCCUCCUGGCUCAUAACUGACGCUCAGACGCGAAAGCUAGGGUAUCGAACGG